RNAcentral lists this ribosomal RNA (302 nucleotides) under uncultured bacterium. Its description in RNAcentral is "partial 16S ribosomal RNA". It matches the Rfam family "Bacterial small subunit ribosomal RNA", at positions 508 to 807 of the family's 1533-position model. The record is from RNAcentral.
GCAGUAGCCGCGGGAAUACGAGGGGGGCAAGCGUUGUUCGGAAUUAUUGGGCGUAAAGGGUGCGUAGGCGGUUUGACAAGUCUUAUGUGAAAUCUCUGGGCUCGACCCAGAGUCUGCAUGGGAAACUGUCGGGCUUGAGUAUGGGAGAGGUGAGUGGAAUUUCCGGUGUAGCGGUGAAAUGCGUAGAUAUCGGAAGGGACACCUGUGGCGAAAGCGGCUCACUGGACCAUAACUGACGCUGAGGCACGAAAGCUAGGGGAGCAAACAGGAUUAGAUACCCCAGUAGUCCCUGUCUCUUAUAC